Oreochromis aureus is the source of this 1568-nucleotide long non-coding RNA. RefSeq lists it as uncharacterized. The record is from RefSeq and is a predicted model, not a curated record. The transcript has 3 exons. Lineage: Eukaryota; Metazoa; Chordata; Actinopteri; Cichliformes; Cichlidae.
UCACUCCAACGCUGAUGCAAUUUAUCUACAGAUUUUCUCAGGGUCUGCGAUUACGUCAAAUCGACAUGAUAGAUGACACCAUUGCAGGCAGCACAACAACACUUAGUAAAAUGUCCAAAAAAAUAAGGAGGGUAUGUGUGGCUGCAGUUCAAAGAUUGAGACGUCGUACAGGUCAGCAGAUUCGUGGCCGAAGGGAGUUUGUUGUGAUUGAUGAGAGUCACUUUCGUCACAAACGAAAGUAUGGGAGAGGAAGAAUGGCUGGGGGAUGGAAAAGAAGAAAGUGGGUCUUUGGAAUGCUGGGCAUAAAACAUCGAGGGAAAACGAGGCCUAUCUUGCGAAAGUUACAAUGUACUUUAAAAACUUUCACAUCUAUAAAUAGGUUGUAAGGUAUAUAUGGUCCCCACUUUAGAUGGGCUCACUCAAGAUACUUUACUAACAAGUAGCAAAUGGUUUGUAACUUCCUAAAUAAGUUUAUUAAGGUAUUUAUGAGUAUUUAUAGAUAAUUUAUCGAAAAAGAAGUUGGCCGAUAGUGAGUUACAGCUUUGGCAGCCUUUAAGUGACAGUUAUAAAUGUAUUGUAAGACAUCUGUUAAGCUAUAGCAGCUGACUGAUGUAACCCUGAUAUUCAGUGUUUAUAAAACAUCUAGUAUGAAACUACUAUGUGUAGUACAUGUAGAGUUUAUAGUAUUAUAUAGGGUAUGUUAACCAUCUACUUACCUUUUACCAAUGAUUUUGUAUACCACUGAACAUCCUGAAAUGAGUGGUUUGUAACUGAUGCAGAGUAGUGUUUAUAAAUGAUUAAUCAAUGAGUUUUAGAACAUGAAAACAUAAUUAAUAAAGUGUUGUACAUUAACUUAUUAAUCAUGAAUAAAGUGUUUAAAUCAGUGCUUGUAAACUAUUAACUGAUUAUGAGAAAUACUUUGUAGAUGCUGUAGAGAGAAUUAAGUAACCAUUAACUAAUGCUUAACAGAUGAUUAACUAAUGCUUAAUAGUGUUCACUUAUUAUAAAGUGUUACCGAAUUGGUUUAUAGUUCUCAUUCUUACUGUUAUUAGUUUGGAUAUGUUAUAAUUUAGCUCUAGGUUAGGUUAUCCUUUUCUUUUUUUACUUUAGUCAAGCAGCUAUCUAUUAACCUUUUGGUCAUACCUUCUUUAAGCUAAUAAUCCAAAAAAGUGCCUGCAAUCCCUAUUUACUCAUUAUCCCUAUUUUGGCAAUUAAUAUUUUCUUUUACUCAAUUUUACCCACAAAUUUUCCACCUUACAUCAUAUUUGUUGCUUAACAAAUAUUAUUUUUGUAGAUCUUUCUGUUUAAAUUCCUUAAACAACAACAUAUUAUUUCAGCAGCAGUGUCUAUCUUCCUCUUUAUAUUCAACAAUUCUUAAUUUUUGCCGACUUAUCUCUUUUAACUGCUCUGAUGCUCCUCUCACUCCUCCACAUACCUUAGGGAUAAUUCACAAACUGCCUGCAUACACAGCGCUCUGCAGCACAGAGAGCUCAGUUUUUUCUCAGUCUCUCAAAUCAGUCCCUCUACAACUUUUUAUUCAUCUACCUACUAACUUCCCAUUCUCCUUA